This 253-nucleotide ribosomal RNA is filed under the name uncultured bacterium. RNAcentral's name for it is "partial 16S ribosomal RNA". It matches the Rfam family "Bacterial small subunit ribosomal RNA", at positions 524 to 776 of the family's 1533-position model. The record is from RNAcentral.
UACAGAGGUCUCAAGCGUUGUUCGGAAUCACUGGGCGUAAAGGGUGCGCAGGCUGCGCGGGCAGUCAAUUGUGGAAUCCAGGGGCUCAACCCCUGGACUGCACUUGAUACUUCCGCGCUAGAGCCCUGGAGAGGAGUCUGGAAUUCUCGGUGUAGCAGUGAAAUGCGUAGAUAUCGAGAGGAACGCCAACGGCGAAAGCAAGACUCUGGACAGGUGCUGACGCUCAUGCACGAAGGCCAGGGGAGCAAACGGG